GCUGCACGCUCACGACAACACCGGGCUGGUGGUGUGCUGAUUAUGCCCCUGCCCUUUGUGCGUGUAUGU
RNAcentral lists this unclassified non-coding RNA (69 nucleotides) under Alexandrium catenella. RNAcentral's name for it is "partial 3' external transcribed spacer". The record is from RNAcentral. Lineage: Eukaryota; Dinophyceae; Gonyaulacales; Pyrocystaceae.